CAAUAGCGUAUAUUAAAGUUGUUGCGGUUAAAAGCUCGUAGUUGGAUUUCUGCUGAGGACGACCGGUCCGCCCUCUGGGUGAGUAUCUGGCUUGGCCUUGGCAUCUUCUUGGGAGAACGUAGCUGCACUUGACUGUGUGGUGCGGUAUCCAGGACUUUUACUUUUGAGGAAAUUAGAGUGUUUCAAGCAGGCAUACGCCUUGAAUACAUUAGCAUGGAAUAAUAAGAUAGGACCUUGGUUCUAUUUUGUUGGUUUCUAGAACUGAGGUAAUGAUUAAUAGGGAUGAGUUGGGGGCAUUCGUAUUAACUGUCAGAGGUGAAAUUCUUGGAUCGCCGUAAAGACGAACUACUGCGAAAGCAUUUGCCAAGAAAUGUUUUCAUUAGUCAAAGAACGAAA
RNAcentral lists this ribosomal RNA (396 nucleotides) under uncultured eukaryote. RNAcentral describes it as "SSU rRNA". It matches the Rfam family "Eukaryotic small subunit ribosomal RNA", at positions 592 to 988 of the family's 1831-position model. The record is from RNAcentral.